RNAcentral lists this non-coding RNA (148 nucleotides) under Chlorocebus sabaeus (green monkey). The record is from Rfam by way of RNAcentral. Lineage: Eukaryota; Metazoa; Chordata; Mammalia; Primates; Cercopithecidae.
GCCGGGCAUGGUGGCGGGUGCCUGUAGUCCCAGUUACUUCGGAGGCUGAGGCAGAAGAAUUGCUUGAACCCAGGAGGCGGAGGUUGCAGUGAGCCGAGAUUGUGCCACUGCACUCCAGCCUGGGCAACAGAGUGAGACUCCGCCUCAA